CGGACGGGUGAGUAACGCGUGGGUAACCUGCCUUAUACAGGGGGAUAACAGUCAGAAAUGGCUGCUAAUACCGCAUAAGCGCACAGAGCUGCAUGGCUCGGUGUGAAAAACUCCGGUGGUAUAAGAUGGACCCGCGUUGGAUUAGCUUGUUGGUGGGGUAACGGCCCACCAAGGCGACGAUGCGUAGCCGACCUGAGAGGGUGACCGGCCACACUGGGACUGAGACACGGCCCAGACUCCUACGGGAGGCAGCAUG
Molecule: ribosomal RNA, 256 nt
Filed under: uncultured bacterium
Lineage: Bacteria
Description: partial 16S ribosomal RNA
Rfam family: Bacterial small subunit ribosomal RNA
Source: RNAcentral